GUCUCCACCAGCGGCGGGUCCAGCUCCAGGCUGUCCCGCAGCGCGUGCUGUGGUGGGAAGUCUCCACCCGGCGUCGGGUCCAGCUCACCUCCGGGCCGUCCGGCAGGCAGUCGCGCUGCGCACCACCAGGCAUCGGCGAAGUUCCUGAGUGGCUGAGGGCGCGGGGCAGGCCUGCGGGUCACCCUGCCCUGGCCAAGGACGACCUUGGACACGUGUCCCCCAGGCCGUGGCGCCCGAGCUCGGCCGCCGUCCAGCAUGGCUGUGUGAUACAGGGGUUCGAUUCCUGAUCCAGAAGAUCCCACUUGCGCAGCACAGCUGAGCCCAGGCACCACAACUCCUGAGCCUGUGAUCCUGAGCCUGGGAGCCGAACCCACUCAGCCCACGUGUUGCAGCUACGAAGCCCGCUUGCCUCAGAGCCCGCGCUGCAAACCUACAGGAGCCGCUGCAAUGAGAAGCCUGCGUGCAGCAAGGAGAGAAAAGCCCCAGCAGCGCUGAUGAACCAGCGCAGCCAAAGUAACAAAUAAGUAAAAUUGUUUCUAAAAGUCAUCAAUCCGGGAGGCGUAAGGAGAAGAAUCACGCCCCCCUCUCUGUGGCUGUUGCUGCUGUAGACAGGCGCUAUCCAGGGGAUGAGGGGCAGGCGACUCGUCCUCAGGGACCACUCCCCCCCAGGAGCCCGGUGGUGGUCGGGGGGCUGUGCCACCCCCACUGGAGCCAUUACCCUUUUGAACUAUCUGUUGGGGGUGGGGGGCAGAUCAGAGGGUUAAAACAGGAAGAAGGAGCUGAAUUACCCCCAGGCUCCCGGGAAACCCACGAGAAUCAGACGGGAGGAACUGCCACGAAGAUCACCGAGCACAUGGCUGGGAAACAGAACUAAAACAUGAAAACGGAUCGUCUUAUUACAGAUGGUCACGAAUGAGAAGCCAGCGUGGGAGAAGGAAGCCCAGGUGAUGGUCGGCCCAGACAAGGGGGUCAGCUCCGGAGUGGACUCUGAGAAGGACCCCACACCUGCGGAGGGGCCUCUCGCAGCCCUCCUGAGGACACGCGGUCACAGGCAAACGCAGAAACACCCGCGCGGCCCUGGAUGCCGAGGCAGAACCCAGGACGCCAGCCUGCAGCCUGAGCGAGUCUUCGGAGUUUCCGGGCCCAGCGCCGCCUGGAACGGCGCCCGCGGGUGGACUAGAGAGAUGCUCAGCUGCGGGCAGAGAGGACCAAGGCCGUGCCGCCGUCUGCAGAGGGCACGGGCAUGCCAGGUCCCCGGAGGAGCUGCAGCCUCACUGUGCAUCGCAGGCUCAUUCCCUCAGUGAGUCUAUGAAACCCAAAUAGACACCACGAUAAAGAGAAUAAAUUUAUUUUCUACACAAGCGCUGUUUGUCUUCCACAUGCUGCUAACAUCUGUUUGAUACUUAUUCAAUAUCCAGUAAAACUAGUGAUUAAUCUAGGUUUUCUUUAAAAAACUAGACACAUGGCAAUGAUCCCAUUUUGUUCCCAGGGAAGACGGAGGACACAGCGUGGCUCUGCUGGCCUGUCCCCUUGUCCUCCGCCGGCAGUGACGCGGCUGCAGGCUCACAGCACAAGCGUGCUCUGGCCCCAGACACCACCCGGCAGAUCAGCGGCCUCUCCCAGUGCCCGCCUGCUUCCUUGGCACGCCCUGCUCGCCCAGGCGGGCACCCCAGACGCCUGCCCAACCCCAGCCCAGAGUGCUGCAUCCAGUGGUCCCGGAAGACCCCCACGCCAGGAAUGGCCGCUGACCGGCUGAAGACCACGGCCACUUUCCAGGCUGACCCCACGCCAGGAAUGGCCGCUGACCGGCUGAAGGCCACGGCCACUUUCCAGGCUGGGAACUUGGAGCAACAAAGCAAAGCCCUCUCCAGUCUCCUUCCUGGAGGGUCUCAGAAGACGCCCCCGCUUGUCAUCUCAAAGGGGCUCAGAGCCCCAGGUCUGGCCCCUGGCACUUCUGGAGUAGGCUGGGGAUCCUGCCAACAGCCAGGCGGUCGGGCCGGCCCCCGCAGUGGGGGAGCAGGCUGCCCCGAAGUGCGCUCGGGCCUGGAGGCCAAGGGCACAGCCACCAGCAUAAGGCUGGCCUCCCCAUAGCCCAGACAUGGUGACGUCCCUCCCGAGCCCACGCUGCAGCCCGAAACCCCUCCCUCCACAGAGACCGCCUCGCCCUCAGCAGCUCAGGGGCACAGCAGCUGCUCUCAGCCCCAGCUGUUCACUGCCCUGGACCACCGACGACUCCCUCAGGACUUCUGACUUAGCAGACGGGUUAGGCCGGCUCCUGGCCCAGGUACAGCCAAAGACUCGCCCCCUCACCCCAGGGAGAGACGCCAGGAGGGUCCUUGCAGCCCCUCCCCGUUCCAUCAACAAGGGUUAAUUAAAACGCAUGUGGUUCCGAGAAGUGACUGGAAGGGGGGCUGUGGUCUAUUAACUUAUCGUCUCCACUUCCACUGGGCGCGGGGUUCACACAUCUGCAGAUCAUCAGAGCGGAGAUUUCUGGCAAAGGAUGGCUUUGGUCCCCUGCAAGACGGUGUUUCCCAGGUGAACGCCCUAAACGGAGUGGUUAAAAGUGAAAAGCAUAAAUACCCACCCACCAAACGGAGUAAAAAUGGAAAUGUCUCCUGCUUGCGGAGGUGAGCCCGGAGCUUUGCAUCCGUUAACCUUCCCUGGGGGGCCUCUCGUCCCUUGCGAUGAUGGGCGGCCACCGAGACGGCGGACGGCCUGACCUUUAUUCAGCUAAAAGCAUGGGGCCCUGGGUGUUAAGUGGAUGUCACUCCGGGAUGGAAUUGAUCCUAGAAUGAGAAGCUCUGGAGCUGUCUUAGAUAAUGUGAUGGCAAAUGGACUCGGUGUGCUUGGCUCGGGCAAAUUAAACAAAACCCAAUGCAAAUAGUCCUUCCCCUGCUGAGCUGCUUCAGAGACAAGCAGCUCCUCUCCUCUGAAAGAAGGCCUGGUCCUCGGAGACCCAGCGGCUUUCACAGGAUUUUGGAGGGAAAUCCCUGAGCUUGCUGCACAAGGAAACUCCUGGGGGCAGUCAGGUCGACCUUAAUGUCUUCACUCUGAAGGAGUGGCUUUGAAUCUGAAAAAAUAAAUAUACGUAUAUUAAAAUAGUUAAGGAUACUUUUAAGAAGAUUCACAGGAAAGCACUUGCCCCACCAAAAUCAAACAAAGAACGGCAGGCGGUAACAUGGACACAGGCCCCUUCUCAGAGACGGCAGUCACCAACACGGGGUAAACGGCCAAAGCCACGUAAAGACACCGGGAAGCCCGCAGAGCACACGGAGGAGAGAGGCUCAAGCUCGGGGAAAGGCGUCUGGGAAGAGGAGGCGUCAGGGCCCGUCUUCCUGGACCACCACCUUCAGGGAGCACAGAAGGCAAGGCCCGGCCGGCCAGGCCGACAGGCCCGGGGUCAGUGUCCAGGCCCCCCACCCCGUCCAGCAGACUCACCACCUACAGGGAGCGCAGAAGGCAAGGCCCGGCCGGCCAGGCUGACAGGCCCGGGGUCAGUGUCCAGCAGAUUCCCCUUCUGGGCCUUGGGGCAGCCUCCAGGGCCCUGAACGAGAAAUCUUUUUAGGACAAAGCCAAGUCAAAGCCACAGUAUCAUGAUUUCUGAUAAAUUAAUGCUGUAUGCAGAAGUAAAGACAAGGGGAAAAUCAAACGUGGUUGGGGUGUAUUUAAAAUGUGUCGCAUUUAAUUCACACCUAAGUUGUGACUUGUUUCUUUUGCUUUGCUGAAAAGGUCUUCCCAUUUUUUAAGCUGUCAAAGGAAAGAGCAAGUGAAGGGAAAUUAGAAAUAAAGUAAGGACUUCCUGUGGUGGUCCAGACGUUAAGACUGCGCCCUCCCAGCGCAGGGGCCUGGGUUUGAUCCCGGUCAGGAAACCACAUGCUUAACCAGGAGUUCACGCACCACAAUGAGGACCCGGUGCAGUCAAAUAAAGUGAUUAACUGAAAUUUAAAAAAAAAGAAAAAGAAAAUAACGGAUUAGAGAGUGAUGUUGCCGUUCUUCCAAAAGGUACACAUAGAAAUGCCGCACGACCCAGUGAUUCCACUCCUCGGCUUUACCCGGGAGACAUGGGACAGCAGACGGUGGGGACAGCCCCAGGGUCCUCAGCUGAGGACACAGAGGCAGUCUGUCCAUAAAGUGCGUGGACUGACCAUCCGGCCUUAAGAAGGGAUGGAGCCUCACGCUCGCUGCAGCACCGUGAACCCUGCAGACAGUCUGCUCAGUGAAGGGUGCUGGAUGCAAAGGGCAGAUACUGUGUGAAUCCAUUUAUGGGAAAUGUCAGGACAGGCAAACCCACGGAGACAGAAAGCAGGUUUUGCUUCCAGGGGCUGGGGGAAGACAGGAGGGGCGUCAGAGCUGCACGGGUAGGGAGGAACCCUUGGAGUGAUGACGUGUUUCAGAACGCUAUAGGGGUGGUGGUCCCAAAAUACCGUGAGUGUGCCACACACCCCCGAACCGUUCACUUUAAAAUGGUCGUGUUACACGAAUCCCACUUCAGUAAAAUGAAACAAGUCGUGGAAGUUACGGAGAUGAUCCUAAGAACUGCCAGAGCUGUGUGCAAACUCAGAAGCCUCCCCAGGCCAAGGUGCAGGCAGUCCCUGACUCCAGGCAAUGGCCCGUGUCCCCCAGGCUUGAUCCCCACGAGGGUGGCAUCCUGAUGAUGGCCUCUUGCCCCUUCAGACUAACUCAGUCUGGCAGGGACACAGACGUCAGUGCUCAGCAGGCUGAGAGCAGGCGGAAUGCUGGUCCCCCUCUGCUGACGCCCUUGGCCAUUCCCCACACCCCCACCCGUUAUACGCAGAGCUCUCAUUUGAUGCCUGAUAACCCAGUACAGGUCAAGUCUCACCUGCCAUGAGUCCUUCCCACUUGCAUCAGAGAACUGGCUUAUGGUUUCAAGAGUUUGUUCGUGGUCCCAAAUUAUUUGUAUGUCUGUCUGUCUGUGGGGCCGGCGGGGCAGCCUCUCCCUCUUCUGGUCUCAGAGAAAGUCCCUUUCGGUCACAGGCGAGCCUGGGUUUGCCAUCUGAGCAGGCUCGGCCCGCAUGCCCACUUAAUCUAAACCAUUAAGAUGUUCUGGGCGGAUCAGAUCGUUUCGGGCCGCACGCCGUCCCCGGGCCCAGGCACCCAACAGCCGCCACGUCUGACUACACGGUGCCGCGCUGAGCUGACUGGCCGUGCGGGGCUGUUUGCGUGGGCGAUGAGGGUGCAGUGAUCCAGAAAGAACGCGGGUCCAGGCAGGCAGCUCUUUCCCUAACACCCUGCUCCGCAGUCAGGAAAUACAGCGCCCGCACCCCUGGGGGUGUGAACACUCUGUUAAAACCAGCAACCAGGAGGGAAGAGAUCCAGAGAUGUGGCCGCAUCACGGAUGCAGAG
Molecule: long non-coding RNA, 5364 nt
Organism: Bos taurus (domestic cattle)
Lineage: Eukaryota; Metazoa; Chordata; Mammalia; Artiodactyla; Bovidae
Source: Ensembl